UACGUAGGGUGCAAGCGUUGUCCGGAAUUAUUGGGCGUAAAGAGCUCGUAGGCGGUUUGUCGCGUCUGCCGUGAAAGUCCGGGGCUCAACUCCGGAUCUGCGGUGGGUACGGGCAGACUAGAGUGAUGUAGGGGAGACUGGAAUUCCUGGUGUAGCGGUGAAAUGCACAGAUAUCAGGAGGAACACCGAUGGCGAAGGCAGGUCUCUGGGCAUUAACUGACGCUGAGGAGCGAAAGCAUGGGGAGCGAACAGG
RNAcentral lists this ribosomal RNA (253 nucleotides) under uncultured bacterium. RNAcentral describes it as "partial 16S ribosomal RNA". It matches the Rfam family "Bacterial small subunit ribosomal RNA", at positions 524 to 776 of the family's 1533-position model. The record is from RNAcentral.